UUGAACCUAACUGGCUUUUAAAAAAUCCAUACUCCAAUUGGUGUGAUCUUGUUUUUCUUCUUCUUACUUCCCUUUUCAUUUUUCCAUCAUCAAAGCUGGCGUUCCUCAUUCCCUUACCAAUUAUUCAUUUCCUGUGCUUUGGCCAAUACAAAAUUUGUCGUCUUUUGGAGGCACUUCGAGAUCGAGUUGAGAUCCCACUGCUUAAAAAAUUUAAUAUACAAAAUUAUUCAUCACUUCUUACUCCCACGAUGUGUAACCGCAAACCUCUCGCCGAACCACUGCCCCUUUCUCCUCGAUCCAAUGGUCCCGUCCUCACACGCUCAGUAUGGAGCUCCAAUCUCGAUUUCGAAUUCAAGUUGAUUCGAUCUCUUAUCGAUUCAUUUCCUCUCAUUUCCAUGGACACUGAAUUUCCGGGUGUCAUUGUUCGUCCCGAUUCCGGUGAUCCUUCGUUCCGGCACCGUGGCGCGUGUCUCUACGCUGUUCUCAAAGCGAACGUGGACCGGUUGCACCUUAUACAGAUUGGACUCACUCUAUCCGAUCAUAAAGGUAAUCUUCCAACCCUAGGUACUCCGAAAUCUUACAUUUGGGAAUUUAAUUUUAAAGACUUUGAUGUGGCGCGUGAUGAUCAUGCUGCCGACUCGGUUGAAUUGUUGAGACGUCAAGGUAUUGAUUUUGAGAAGAAUGGUGAGUUUGGUAUUGACUCAGUUCGUUUUGCCGAAUUAAUGAUGUCGUCGGGUCUUGUAUGUGAUGAUUCUGUAAGCUGGGUAACGUUUCACAGUGCAUAUGAUUUUGGUUAUCUUGUGAAAUUGUUAACUCAACGCACUCUACCAGAUGAUCUCGAGGAAUUCCUCCGUCUUGUGAAAGUGUUUUUUGGAGACAAGGUUUUUGACGUGAAGCAUUUAAUGAGAUUCUGCUCGAACUUGCAUGGUGGGUUGGAUAGAGUUUGCCAGUCUUUGAAGGUGGAACGGCUUAUUGGAAAGAGUCAUCAAGCGGGUUCCGACAGUUUGCUUACUUUGCAUGCUUUUCAGAAUAUCAGAGAGCUUUAUUUUGGGAAAGCGGAUGGAUUUGUCAAAUAUGCUGGUGUUUUAUAUGGAACUGAGGCAAGGAAGUUAUUCUUUAAGGACGUGCUAAUACAUCAAGUUAGAAUUUAGUGUUUGCUCAGGUAGUGUUAACUUACUAAUUGAAUUCUAAACAGACGAACUUUUGCAUCACCCACAUGUUAACUAUUAUUGUAGCAGUGAUUUGUUUAACAUAAACAGUUAUGUUAGAGUUGCACUUAGUUCAUGACGAUUGAUUCAGCUUUAAAAUGUCAAGCCACCCUGUCAAAAGGAGAAUGAUAUCAUGACUGCAAAUAUGGUAUCAGUUCUCCUUGAGUAUUGGUUGGAAACUGGAAAUAACACCCACUGUCCACCUUUCAUUUGGUUGACUGCUUUAAUAGUGCCAUGGGAACUUGCUACUGCCAGGUGUAUAACACGUCAAAUCUUAUAUUUCAACCUCUGAGGUAGGGGAUGGGCUUGUUCAUAUCUUGACUUCUGUUGUUGUUAUUCUUUCCAAUUCAAUCUCAGUGUAUCUUUUGCUUUCAUGUACAAAUGUACAUGUCCACAACUCCACACGAGAAAUUUAGAUAUUUAUAGUUGCUGUGAGCUUGGGGAGCACAUUUGAACUUGACACAGUGCCUAUGCAAAUAACAAGGUUUGCAGAGGGCUAUUAGUAUGCCGAUUCGGCUGAUAAAAGAGAAGACAUCAGCAGUGUUGAGUGUUGACAAGUAGCUGCUAUAGCGGUGCUAUAGUGCUAUAGCAUAUCCGUAUUUGAACAAAUUGCUAUUGCUGCCCAAUAUGCUAUUUAGUACAAAAUGUUGUCAAAUAGCCGCAAUUUUUGUGGCGCUAUAGCAUUAACAGAUUUUGAACAAACAGCUAUUUUCCUUGAUCUGCAAUUAACAACACUGGACAGCAGUAAAAUUUCUUUGUGCCUUCAUUAACUGUUAUCUAGGUUCUUUUUCAGUUUUCGCACAUUAAAAGUUUGGGUACUUGGUUUUGCUUGGUGUAAUAUGAUAAACUUUUCUUUAUAAUUUCCUAUGUAAAAAUUUCAUUUGUUUGAUUCUUCAGCCUCUUAGUAACUUUUGACUUUAAGCUGUUUUAUUGGAAUAAACAUGAUUCCGGCAUAUACUUAUGAUGAUAAUUGAUUUAUGUCAAACUUCCAAUGGAAAAAUGGAAAAGGCAGUGGAGGAGUUUAAAGUAAAAUGCAGAACUUAGUUUGGUCACUUGCUUCAGUUCAAUGGAUACCAUUAAUGCCACUGCCUAUUUUGAACUUCCAGUCACUGGGAGAGGGGGAGGGGAAGGGGUUCUUUUUCUCAAUGAAUUGAGCAAAUGGUUUGGAACUUGAAAUAGUAUGUGGCCUGUGCAGCAUGCUUUGAUCAAUACAUUUAUAUUUAUCAUUCCAUUCCCCAUUUCCAGAGUAAUUUUGUGAAGACCUAAUAGCAAGUUUGGUAUUGUUGUCUCUUUAUUUUUAAAAUCAAAUAAAUUAAAAGCAUUGAAGUGUAAAAAGUCACAGAUGGGGAUAAUGUUAUUUUUUAUCAGAAAUUUAUUUUGACUUUCUUUUGCAUCCGACUUGCUAUUAUUGAAACUAUGAGGGGCUUCUUGUUGUAUUGUCUCUGGCACAAUGUAAUUUAGCCCAGGACCAAUUUCACGGCUUAUUUCAUCAAGUUUGGAAGAGUUGAGGUUUACCAUGAACCGUCAUUUUGUCUUUCUUGCUUGCAUAGUUAAAAACUGGUUUUUAUGCAUGUAUAUAUGUAGGCCUUGAUGUCAAAGGAAUACUAGUUGUUGAAAGUGAAUCUCUUUCCUUAUA
Molecule: non-coding RNA, 2844 nt
Organism: Cicer arietinum (chickpea)
Lineage: Eukaryota; Viridiplantae; Streptophyta; Magnoliopsida; Fabales; Fabaceae
Source: RefSeq, a predicted model, not a curated record